ACAAAGGCUCUUUUCAGAGCCACCAUCUCCUCAGAGAGAGGGCUG
Non-coding RNA from Heterocephalus glaber (naked mole-rat), 45 nucleotides. The record is from Rfam. Lineage: Eukaryota; Metazoa; Chordata; Mammalia; Rodentia; Bathyergidae.